RNAcentral lists this ribosomal RNA (23 nucleotides) under Leptosphaerulina saccharicola. RNAcentral's name for it is "partial 18S ribosomal RNA". Lineage: Eukaryota; Fungi; Ascomycota; Dothideomycetes; Pleosporales; Didymellaceae. The record is from RNAcentral.
CGGGGGAACUGCGGAGGACAUUA